This is an unclassified non-coding RNA of Callithrix jacchus (white-tufted-ear marmoset), 298 nucleotides long. It matches the Rfam family "Metazoan signal recognition particle RNA". From Rfam's summary of the family: The signal recognition particle (SRP) is a universally conserved ribonucleoprotein. It is involved in the co-translational targeting of proteins to membranes. The eukaryotic SRP consists of a 300-nucleotide 7S RNA and six proteins: SRPs 72, 68, 54, 19, 14, and 9. The record is from Ensembl. Lineage: Eukaryota; Metazoa; Chordata; Mammalia; Primates; Cebidae.
ACCAGCAUGGUGGCACGUGCCUGUAGUCCCAGCUACUCGGGAGGCUGAGGUAGAAGGAUUGCUUGAGCCCAGGAGUUCUGGGCUGUAGUGCGCUAUGCUGAUCAGGUGUUCGCACUAAGUUCAGCAUCAAUAUGGUGACCUCCCAGGUGCGGGGGACCACAGGUUGCCUAAGGAGGGGUGAACCGGCCCAGGUCGGAAAUGGAGCAGGUCAAAACUCCCAUGCUGAUCAGUAGUGGGAUCACAUCUGUGAAUAGCCACUACACUCCAGCCUGGGUAACAUGGUCAGACCCCGUCUCUU